AUUUUUAUUUCACAUCAAUUGCUAUAGUUUCAGAUGUAUGAAAGAUUCUUCAGGUUUUUCUUUGCAGCUCAUUUUAAGUAUGUGAUAUGCAGAAAUUCAUUGAGACCUGCCCAGAUGAUAUUUUAAUGGACGAAACAAAUGGUCAGAACAUCCCAACCCUGCGUUUUAAGAUCGCAAGAAACACUUCUCAAGUGAAUCGAGUGUCCUUGCAUAUGGCAAGUCCUUGCAGUCCAGAUUGGUACAUGACUGGAUGUCGAGCAACAGAUAAACAAAAGUGCUGUCCACUUCCUUUUUCAUUUAGACGUCUGGAUUUCAAGUCUCCUCAGUUAAAGAAAUUCAAUGAGACCUGCCCAGCUGAUAUUUUAGUGGAUGAAACAAAUGAUCAGGACAUCAAAAGAAGCAAUUCUCAAGUGAAUGAAGUAUCCUUGAAUAUGUCGAGUCCCUGCAGUCCAGGUUGGAAAGUGAAAGGAUGUCGAUCAACAGAUGAACGUCUGGCUUUGAUGUCUCCUCAUUUAAAGAAAUUCAUUGAGACCUGCCCAGAUGAUAUUUUAAUGGGCGAAACAAAUGGUCAGAACAUCCGAACCCCACGUUUUAAGACUGCAAGAUACACUUCUCAAGGAAACGACCAUCCUUGAACAAACUAGAGCUCCAAGGAAGUAUGGCAAGACCUUGCAGAAAUCUCAUAAAUAUUGAAAAUAUACUUUAUGAAAAUGGAAGUUUAUUUUUAAAAUGACAACUGUUUUCCAUUUUUUUUUCAUGACUAUUCCACUUCAAAAUGUUGAUGCUUUAAAAUUUUCUUCAUUAAUGGUUUCAUUGUUUAAUAUAUGUGUAAAUUAGAUGUUUUCAAUAAAGUGAAAAACAAAUGUAAUUGUGUGUGUGUGUGUGUGUGUGUGUGUGUGUGUGUGUGUGUGUGUGUGUGUGUGUGUGUGUGUGUGUGUGUGUGUGUGGG
Molecule: long non-coding RNA, 949 nt
Filed under: Eptatretus burgeri (inshore hagfish)
Lineage: Eukaryota; Metazoa; Chordata; Myxini; Myxiniformes; Myxinidae
Description: lncRNA (ENSEBUG00000017300.1)
Source: RNAcentral